GACGAACGCUGGCGGCGUGCUUAACACAUGCAAGUCGAACGAUGAAGUUCCUUCGGGGAUGGAUUAGUGGCGAACGGGUGAGGAACACGUGAAGAAUCUGCCCUCCACUUUGGGAUAACUCCGGGAAACCGGGGCUAAUACCGAAUAUUGAAACAUAAGUGGCAUCACUGAGUUUUGAAAGAAUUUCGGUGGAGGAUGACUUCGCGGCCUAUCAGCUUGUUGGUGAGGUAAUGGCUCACCAAGGCGACGACGGGUAGCCGGCCUGAGAGGGCGGCCGGCCACACUGGGACUGAGACACGGCCCAGACUCCUACGGGAGGCAGCAGUGGGGAAUAUUGGGCAAUGGACGAAAGUCUGACCCAGCGACGCCGCGUGCGGGAUGAAGGCCUUCGGGUUGUAAACCGCUUUCAGCAGGGAAGAAGCGAAAGUGACGGUACCUGCAAAAGAAGCACCGGCUAACUAUGUGCCAGCAGCCGCGGUAAUACAUAGGGUGCAAGCGUUGUCCGGAAUUAUUGGGCGUAAAGAGCUCGUAGGUCGUUAAUUACGUCGGGUGUGAAAAUCUGGGGCUCAACCCCAGACCUGCACUCGAUACGGGUUAGCUAGAGUUUGGUAGGGGAGACUGGAAUUCCUGGUGUAGCGGUGGAAUGCGCAGAUAUCAGGAGGAACACCAAUGGCGAAGGCAGGUCUCUGGGCCAAUACUGACACUGAGGAGCGAAAGCGCGGGGAGCGAACAGGAUUAGAUACCCUGGUAGUCCGCGCCGUAAACGGUGGGCGCUAGUUGUGGGAACCUUCCACGGUUUCUGCGACGCAGCU
Molecule: ribosomal RNA, 812 nt
Filed under: uncultured bacterium
Lineage: Bacteria
Description: bacterial SSU rRNA
Rfam family: Bacterial small subunit ribosomal RNA
Source: RNAcentral